Non-coding RNA from Ameiurus melas (black bullhead), 73 nucleotides. The record is from the annotation of a GenBank genome assembly. NCBI's taxonomy places the organism in Eukaryota, Metazoa, Chordata, Actinopteri, Siluriformes, Ictaluridae.
GUUUCUGUAGUGUAGUGGUUAUCACGUUUGCCUAACAUGCAAAAGGUCCCUGGUUCAAGACCGGGCAGAAACA